CUGUAUCUUCCUUUCAGGUCACAGUGAGUGGAAAUAGCUCCAAUAAAGGGAGGAACAGCAAGGGCACUGUUUGAAGGAAGAGAGGAAGCAUUUCCUUCUGAGUGGCCUGGUGAAAGAGUUCAAGGCUGUCAAGCUGCAGGAUCCAGCAAGUUGAAGAGCCAGGUGCUUGAUGGAUUAGUCUACAUUUACGGACAAUUGGUUUUGUUUAUAUGAAGGGAGAGGAGAGAAAUUGGCUACAUGCUAGAGAGAAAUUGAGGUAGUAACUGCACUCUACAGGAAGAGGUAAGGUGCUUAUCCACAGAGCUAUUUUCCAAAAAAUUUUAGACAUUCUAGGUAUGUCUAGCAUGCU
RNAcentral lists this long non-coding RNA (349 nucleotides) under Gopherus agassizii (Agassiz's desert tortoise). Its description in RNAcentral is "lncRNA (ENSGAGG00000021010.1)". The record is from RNAcentral. Lineage: Eukaryota; Metazoa; Chordata; Testudines; Testudinidae.